Molecule: ribosomal RNA, 501 nt
Filed under: uncultured bacterium
Lineage: Bacteria
Description: partial 16S ribosomal RNA
Rfam family: Bacterial small subunit ribosomal RNA
Source: RNAcentral
AUUGAACGCUGGCGGCAGGCUUAACACAUGCAAGUCGAGCGGGGGAAGGUAGCUUGCUACCGGACCUAGCGGCGGACGGGUGAGUAAUGCUUAGGAAUCUGCCUAUUAGUAGGGGACAACAUCUCGAAAGGGAUGCUAAUACCGCAUACGUCCUACGGGAGAAAGCAGGGGAUCUUCGGACCUUGCGCUAAUAGAUGAGCCUAAGUCGGAUUAGCUAGUUGGUGGGGUAAAGGCCUACCAAGGCGACGAUCUGUAGCGGGUCUGAGAGGAUGAUCCGCCACACUGGGACUGAGACACGGCCCAGACUCCUACGGGAGGCAGCAGUGGGGAAUAUUGGACAAUGGGGGGAACCCUGAUCCAGCCAUGCCGCGUGCGUGAAGAAGGCCUUAUGGUUGUAAAGCACUUUAAGCGAGGAGGAGGCUACUCUAGUUAAUACCUAGGGAUAGUGGACGUUACUCGCAGAAUAAGCACCGGCUAACUCUGUGCCAGCCGCCGCGGUAA